This is a long non-coding RNA of Xenopus laevis (African clawed frog), 2069 nucleotides long. RefSeq lists it as uncharacterized. NCBI's taxonomy places the organism in Eukaryota, Metazoa, Chordata, Amphibia, Anura, Pipidae. The transcript has 3 exons. The record is from RefSeq and is a predicted model, not a curated record.
ACGACCGAAAGAUGUCGGCACACAUGAUCCGAAAAUCGUAUGAAUCCUCGAUUUGUACGAUAGGAUCUGUGUGUCUAUGGCCACCUUUAGUGUAUCAGCGACAGCGUUCUUGAUCCCCUGCAUAAUAGACUCCUGAUUGAAGUAUAUAGUAGAAGUGGAAGCAGACUCUCUUUCUUUAUCAUGCACAGCAAAUUCCUGAAAGCAUGUCUGGCAAAGUCUCAUGCAUUAUAGCAGGAUUGACACAUGCCCUACUACAGGGUCUGAAAUCUGCACUCUCCUGUGCCGUUUUUUAGAAGCAGCAGGGACAUGCCGUAAUGAGAGUAAUAAUAAAUGAACAGCUCUUUUCGCAGAACCCUAAAAUAAAAUAUAAGUAUGCUGGUAGGGCACUCGCCCAGUAGAUUGUAAGGCAGCCUGAUCCACUGUAAGGACUCCAGGCACAGAAUGCUGAAGCCACUCUGAAAUCAAAAAACCCGCCAGUGACUUCACUUCCGGUAUGCAACUGCAGGUGGCACCAGAGCACCAAAAAGGUAUGUAUACAUACAAGCCUGCCCCGGCUGCAGGGGCCUCUGCACAGUAAUAUAUCGGCAGAGCUUCGGGUGGAGGGAGCUGUUGAACUGCACCCAGUGAUCGGAUUACAAGAAUCCAUGAGUGCCCUACCUGCAACUUCUACUUACCCACAGAAGAAAACAAAGACGAGGGGAGUUAGAGGAGGAGGAGUACGAGGGGGAGCGCAAUGAGGCGGGCGAGAGGCACGGGUACAGGAGGGCGAGACUGCGCAAUGGAGACUCCUACGAGGGACAAUAUAAGAGGGGGAAGAGACACUUUAUAAUGUUUCUAUCUGAUUUGAUUGGUUGCUGCAGAUUUGCCGCCCCCCCUGGAUCUAGUUUAGAGAAAGUAAAAGUCAGCUAAUUGAAAGGAAAAGGAACCUUUUAUUUGUCGAGCAUUUUCAACAACGCGUCGAGGGCCAAGACGCAGAGAUCCACAAGGCAACCAGGGUGAGACGCAGCGGUGUAAGACGUGCCUCACUUUUUGGGGAUCAGGUUAUCCAGACGGAGACAGUCAGUACGGAGUGCGCACAGUUUGAUUUGAGACCACUCAAGAUUUAAAGCCUUAAAGUGGGCGUGGUAUAAUGAAAGUGGGCGUGGUAGCUCCACCCCUUUAUUGGGCCCCCCAACUAAAACCAUCUUCUGCCUAUGUGCCACACUCCUUCAGUGUAUGUGAGGACUGAGCAACCCAGAAAGGGCUCUGCCCUAAUAAACACUGUUAAGGGCCACGAAAUUCUGUAUUUGCAUAAAAACAAAGGAUGUUUAUUCAGUCCAUAACUUGCCCUUUAAUAAGAUCCGUUUAUAUGUCGGCGCAUGAAAUGCAUAGGGCAGUGCCCCCCGUGUUUGUGUCCUGGGCAGUGCUUGUGUAUUGCAUUAUUGCCAUUCUCUCCAUAGGACGAUGUUGUGGGUAUCACAGUGGGCAGAUAAGGAAGAGAGAGGUCGGGCACAUAGCUGAAAUGCUUGGGAAAGUUUCCUAUAGCCCCAGGCGUUUUCUGUGUUUAGGAAUUCAGUCAAUAACAGGUGUGAAUUUCACCCAACUGCCAUCAGGCCCUACCACUUAUGGGGCCAGUCUGGGGGUGUAGGUGGCAAAGUACAGUCUGAGCUGCAGGAUCACAACAUGUUUUUCUGAGAAUCAGCGACGCACGACUGUAACAAUAAACAUUGCUCCGCCUAAAUAACUGCACCCUCCUCUCCUUUGUGAUCCACUCCUCUGAAUUGGGUGCCUUGAACUCUGCUGAUCUCAGGUGCCUUGAUCUGUUCCCAAGCAGAGUUUUCUCAUCAAUACCAAGUGAGCAGAAGGCAAAAGGUGUGGCAAGGAAACGGCCAUACUGUGUAUUUUGCCAUAAAGAUGGACAGAGAGUCUGUAUAGAGGCCCAGAUGUGGGUGACUGAUAGGUGGGGACCCUCUGGGGGGUAUAUUUAUCAAUGAGUGAAGUUAGAGAUCACCACAGUCCUUUAGGGCUGGGACACACUGGGCGAUUUAGGGAGAUUUAAUUGCCGCAACUUUCCACAACCAAUCUUCCCC